Molecule: long non-coding RNA, 470 nt
Organism: Astyanax mexicanus (Mexican tetra)
Lineage: Eukaryota; Metazoa; Chordata; Actinopteri; Characiformes; Acestrorhamphidae
Exons: 2
Source: RefSeq, a predicted model, not a curated record
AAAGUGUGGUGGAGGGGAAGAGAUGCCACUUUGGUCAAGGCUUCUGUACAUCCUACCGUAACUGCAGAAACCUUGGAGGACGCCCAGCUGGAACACUAGUGUGCGGUUUCAAGAUAUGUUGUCUUUAGCAAAUGAUCAACAAAUGACCUGAACAACAGUGGGAAGUCCUACAGGAGGGCAAGAAGUGAAAAGAAAUGAAAGAUCGACUUCAAUCAAAAAUGAGGAAGGUUUUUUUUUUUUUGGAUAGUGCAGAUGCAGAAGAUGAUGAUUGUACCUAGUAUGUAAUAAAACAGUUAUUGUAAUUAUUAUUGUUCUUUUCUAUAUUUUGUAUAUUUGUAUAUGUUUUCUUUUCUGUAUUUGCAACAAUGGCAGUUUGAAUGCUUUGCUGUAACAAAGAUCAUGUAAAAUUAUGAUUUUGAUUUGUCUGAACUCUGUAUUACUUGUGUACAAAUAAAACAUGGAUGAUUGUU